UCAACAACGGAUCUCUUGGUUCUGGCAUCGAUGAAGAACGCAGCGAAAUGCGAUAAGUAAUGUGAAUUGCAGAAUUCAGUGAAUCAUCGAAUCUUUGAACGCACAUUGCGCCCCCUGGUAUUCCGGGGGGCAUGCCUGUUCGAGCGUCAUUUCACCAC
RNAcentral lists this ribosomal RNA (158 nucleotides) under Ramularia grevilleana. RNAcentral describes it as "5.8S ribosomal RNA". It matches the Rfam family "5.8S ribosomal RNA". Rfam says of the family: 5.8S ribosomal RNA (5.8S rRNA) is a component of the large subunit of the eukaryotic ribosome. The record is from RNAcentral. Lineage: Eukaryota; Fungi; Ascomycota; Dothideomycetes; Mycosphaerellales; Mycosphaerellaceae.